GACGUAGGGGGCCAGCGUUGUUCGGAAUUACUGGGUGUAAAGGGUUCGUAGGCGGUGCGGCAAGUUGGGAGUGAAAUCUCUGGGCUUAACCCAGAGGCUGCUUCCAAAACUGCUGUGCUUGAGUGUGGGAGAGGCGCGUGGAAUUGCAGGUGUAGCGGUGAAAUGCGUAGAAAUCUGCAGGAACACCCGUGGCGAAAGCGGCGCGCUGGACCACUACUGACGCUGAGGAACGAAAGCGUGGGGAGCGAACAGG
This 253-nucleotide ribosomal RNA is filed under the name uncultured bacterium. Its description in RNAcentral is "partial 16S ribosomal RNA". It matches the Rfam family "Bacterial small subunit ribosomal RNA", at positions 524 to 776 of the family's 1533-position model. The record is from RNAcentral.